RNAcentral lists this long non-coding RNA (244 nucleotides) under Capra hircus (goat). RNAcentral describes it as "lncRNA (ENSCHIG00010003459.1)". Lineage: Eukaryota; Metazoa; Chordata; Mammalia; Artiodactyla; Bovidae. The record is from RNAcentral.
AUGAAUGACCUGGAAGUGAAAGAACAGAAGAGCUAUGAAAGACGUAUGGGUUUCCCACCCCAGACGCUGCAGACCGGCCUGCAAAGGGGAAAGUGGAAUGUGCGUGUUUCCCUGCCCGCCAGUCAUCUCCAAGGCAACAGCCAGGACUUCCACUCACCUGCAGACCCACACAGCCCACCUCACCGCUCCACAGGGAACCGCAAAGGGAACUUUGCCAGAACAAGUGCCAUGCCAGCAGCUUUGC